AGGCCCUUAGCUCAGCUGGUUAGAGCGCACCCCUGAUAAGGGUGAGGUCGGUGGUUCGAGUCCACUAGGGCCUA
Molecule: transfer RNA, 74 nt
Filed under: Paenibacillus silvestris
Lineage: Bacteria; Bacillati; Bacillota; Bacilli; Caryophanales; Paenibacillaceae
Rfam family: tRNA
About the family: Transfer RNA (tRNA) molecules are approximately 80 nucleotides in length. Their secondary structure includes four short double-helical elements and three loops (D, anti-codon, and T loops).
Source: Rfam by way of RNAcentral